RNAcentral lists this ribosomal RNA (402 nucleotides) under uncultured bacterium. RNAcentral describes it as "bacterial SSU rRNA". It matches the Rfam family "Bacterial small subunit ribosomal RNA", at positions 355 to 774 of the family's 1533-position model. The record is from RNAcentral.
UGGGGAAUCUUGCACAAUGGGGGAAACCCUGAUGCGGCGACGCCGCGUGAACGAUGAAGCCCUUCGGGGUGUAAAGUUCUUUCGACAGGAACGAUAAUGACGGUACCUGGAGAAGAAGCUGCGGCUAACUACGUGCCAGCAGCCGCGGUAAUACGUAGGCAGCGAGCGUUGUUCGGAGUUACUGGGCGUAAAGAGUGCGUAGGCGGCGAGCCAAGUUUGGUGUGAAAUCUCCCGGCUUAACCGGGAGGGUGCGCCGAAAACUGGUUGGCUGGAGUAUGGGAGAGGAAAGCGGAAUUCCUGGUGUAGCGGUGAAAUGCGUAGAUAUCAGGAGGAACACCUGCGGUGUAGACAGCUUUCUGAACCAAAACUGACGCUGAGGCACGAAAGCGUGGGGAGCGAACA